GUCAGUAGGACGAAGCAUCGUUUGACCCAAAACUUCUUUUGGCCAGGGGUCUCCAGAGAUAUUCGGUAGUAUUGCCAAACUUGUGACACAUGCCAGAGAGUAGGGAAGAGAGGGGACCGGUACAAGGCAAAAAUGCACUCCCUACCCAUAAUGAACCCUUCAGUAGAGUGGCCCCCUAGCAAAACCCAGCCCGUCAGGGAAGAAGUAUAUACUAACCGUAGUAGACUAUGCCACUCGGUACCCAGAGGCCGUAGCCCUGACUAAUAUCCAUGCGGAGACUAUAGUAGAUGCCCUAAUCCGGAUAUUCUCCAGAAUGGGGUUCCCCAAAGAGAUUAUCUCAGAUCGGGGUACCCAAUUCACAGCCGAAGUCACUCAUCAGUUAUGGAGAACAUGUGGGGUGAAGACGGUACGGUCUAAUCUCCAGGCGGCCCAGCAACGACAGCACAGAUGGUAAGAUAGGGGAGCCAGAGACCGCAGUUUUCAAAUAGGACAAAAGGUGUUAAUCUUGAAGCCAGUCCAAAAUGACAAACUGCAGGCCUCUUGGCAAGGCCCUUAUAAGGUGGUGGAACAGGUAUGUG
Non-coding RNA from Pelobates cultripes (western spadefoot toad), 578 nucleotides. The record is from the annotation of a GenBank genome assembly. NCBI's taxonomy places the organism in Eukaryota, Metazoa, Chordata, Amphibia, Anura, Pelobatidae.